AUUCCAGCUCCAAUAGCGUAUAUUAAAGUUGUUGUGGUUAAAAAGCUCGUAGUUGGAUCUCAACAGCCUUGAAGCGGUUAACUUUGUAGUUUUACUGCUUUAUAGGCUGUGCUUUUGCUGGAGGUUUAGGGGUGCUCUUGAUCGAGUGUCUCUGGAUGCCAGCAGGUUUACUUUGAAAAAAUUAGAGUGCUCAAAGCAGGCUAAAAUGCCUGAAUAUUCGUGCAUGGAAUAAUAGAAUAGGAUGUCGAUCCUAUUUUGUUGGUUUCUAGAGCUGAGGUAAUGAUUGAUAGGGAUAGUUGGGGGCAUUCGUAUUUAACUGUCAGAGGUGAAAUUCUUGGAUUUGUUAAAGACAGACUACUGCGAAAGCAUUUGCCAAGGAUGUUUUCAUUA
This 390-nucleotide ribosomal RNA is filed under the name Paracalanus sp. Its description in RNAcentral is "partial small subunit ribosomal RNA". It matches the Rfam family "Eukaryotic small subunit ribosomal RNA", at positions 582 to 975 of the family's 1831-position model. Lineage: Eukaryota; Metazoa; Arthropoda; Copepoda; Calanoida; Paracalanidae. The record is from RNAcentral.